This 1228-nucleotide long non-coding RNA is filed under the name Canis lupus familiaris (dog). RNAcentral's name for it is "lncRNA (ENSCAFG00805004654.1, ENSCAFG00845002749.1)". Lineage: Eukaryota; Metazoa; Chordata; Mammalia; Carnivora; Canidae. The record is from RNAcentral.
GAAAUUCAUCCCCUUGGCGCCUGUGUGUGGCUCCUGGGCAGGCACUCCACGUGGGCACCGCUGUGGUGCCUGCCACGCAUCCUGUGCUCUGCAAGAUCACAACCACCUGCGUAAGAACAUACCAUUGGGGAUCCCUGGUGGCGCAGCGGUUUAGCGCCUGCCUUUGGCCCAGGGCACAAUCCUGGAGACCCGGGGUUGAAUCCCACGUCGGGCUCCCGGUGCAUGGAGCCUGCUUCUCCCUCUGCCUAUGUCUCUGCCUCUCUGUCUCUCUGUGACUAUCAUAAAUAAAUAAAAAAAAAUUAAAAAAAAAAAAGAACAUACCAUUGUUUUGCCUUUUCCAGAGUUGGCCUUGCCCUGCAGCGCUUUGAGGGGCUGAGCCAGAGCCCGAUGGAGGCCGCAGCGCCAAGACCUUGGCAGCUCACACACAGUCAAGGAGACCCAGCUUCCCCUGAGAUGGUCCUUCAUGAGGCAGCAACAAUGACUGUUCAUACUGAAUCAUCUUCUAGUAUCUUCUGUGACAAAACAGGAAGUACACAGGGACCACUUCUCUAGCUCUGGCAGUUAACUCCCUGGUCAGGCUGCCUGCACUCAGGAACGUGCAGGUGGGCUAUGUCUGCAAAUGUGUUUCUGGAAGGGCUGGCCUUUGCGCCGGUACCUGUGCAUGGGCCUUGUCCAGUCCCCCAAGGGCCUGAGUGGAACGAGGUGGAGGGAGGUGAAUUUGCUGUCUGUGUGGGCUGUGACAUGCACCUGCUCCUGCCCUCAGACGGCGAGUCUCUGGUUCUCUGCCUCUGCAUGUGGCUGGAUCAGAGCACCGCAGGCGCUCUAGCUCAUGCACAACAGACCGAGGGACGUCCUGGCCUCCAUGAAGGCUGAGGUGGUUCCAGCAACAGGUCUCCUGGUGCACACGUGCCUCCUGCUGCUUGUUUCCCGGAGAACCUGCAUGAUGCACCUGCACACUGUAGGAAGGAAGACUCACCCUGAGAUCAGAUCAGAGAGGGUAUGUGAACUGUCAGGAUGCACAGUACAUGGCCUGUCGUCCAGCAAGACACAGAGCAGGAGCAGCGGUGUGCAGCAUAGGCCCCAGAGGAACAGAGGGGGCUGCUGUCAGUGAGGUGAGUGCUGCAGGGAGCUCUUGGACACGGACUGGGAACAGCUGAGCCACACAAGACACCUGGAUACCUGGACACCUGCAUGGCCUUUUUCCUGCUGUCAAACGUGAGCUGAGAGC